GCUGAAGCACGGCACCGAAGCUGCGGGACGUAAGGCGGAAGCCUUGCGUCGGUAGGGGAGCGUUCCGGCUGCGGCGAAGCACGACCGGAAGGACGUGUGGAGCGGCCGGAAGUGAGAAUGCCGGUAUGAGUAGCGAAAAGGCCGGUGAGAAUCCGGCCCACCGAAAGCCUGAGGGUUCCUGGGGAAGGCUCGUCCGCCCAGGGUCAGUCGGGACCUAAGCCGAGGCCGAAGGGCGUAGGCGAUGGGAAACCGGUGGACAUUCCGGUACCACCACCGGCCGUCUGAGCGAUGCGGGGACGCAGGAGGCUAGGGAGACCGGGCCGCUGGUUGUGCCCGGGCAAGCCGGUAGCCUGGCCCGGCAGGCAAGUCCGCCGGGCUAGAGGUGAGAGGCGAUGCGGACCGAAGUCGAGUAGGGAAGCUCCCGACGCCACACUGCCGAGAAAAGCCGCUAGCGAGGCACGGGGUGCCCGUACCGCAAACCGACACAGGUAGGCGGGGAGAGAAUCCUCAGGUGCGCGGGAGAACCCUCGCCAAGGAACUCGGCAAAAUGCCCCCGUAACUUCGGGAGAAGGGGGGCCUUCCGGGGUGAGGCAUCCAUGCGGUGCCAAGCUCUGGGGGGUCGCAGAGGAGAGGCCCAGGCGACUGUUUACCAAAAACACAGGUCUCUGCGAAGCCGGAAGGCGACGUAUAGGGGCUGACGCCUGCCCGGU
This 710-nucleotide non-coding RNA is filed under the name Symbiobacterium thermophilum. RNAcentral's name for it is "bacterial LSU rRNA". It matches the Rfam family "Bacterial large subunit ribosomal RNA", at positions 1180 to 1867 of the family's 2925-position model. The record is from RNAcentral. Lineage: Bacteria; Bacillati; Bacillota; Clostridia; Eubacteriales; Symbiobacteriaceae.